Molecule: ribosomal RNA, 468 nt
Filed under: uncultured bacterium
Lineage: Bacteria
Description: partial 16S ribosomal RNA
Rfam family: Bacterial small subunit ribosomal RNA
Source: RNAcentral
GAUGAACGCUGGCGGCGUGCUUAACACAUGCAAGUCGAACGGUGAAGGCGGAGCUUGCUCUGCUGGAUCAGUGGCGAACGGGUGAGUAACACGUGAGCAAUCUGCCCCUGACUCUGGGAUAAGCGCUGGAAACGGCGUCUAAUACUGGAUACGAGCUGCGAAGGCAUCUUCAGCAGCUGGAAAGAAUUUCGGUCAGGGAUGAGCUCGCGGCCUAUCAGCUUGUUGGUGAGGUAAUGGCUCACCAAGGCGUCGACGGGUAGCCGGCCUGAGAGGGUGACCGGCCACACGGGGACUGAGACACGGCCCAGACUCCUACGGGAGGCAGCAGUGGGGAAUAUUGCACAAUGGGCGAAAGCCUGAUGCAGCAACGCCGCGUGAGGGACGACGGCCUUCGGGUUGCAAACCUCUUUUAGCAGGGAAGAAGCGAAAGUGACGGUACCUGCAGAAAAAGCGCCGGCUAACUACGUG